This 253-nucleotide ribosomal RNA is filed under the name uncultured bacterium. RNAcentral's name for it is "partial 16S ribosomal RNA". It matches the Rfam family "Bacterial small subunit ribosomal RNA", at positions 524 to 776 of the family's 1533-position model. The record is from RNAcentral.
UACGUAGGGGGCAAGCGUUGUCCGGAUUUAUUGGGCGUAAAGAGCGUGUAGGCGGUUUGGUAGGUCCGUUGUGAAAACUCGAGGCUCAACCUCGAGACGCCGAUGGAAACCAUCAGACUAGAGUCCGGGAGAGGAGAGUGGAAUUCCUGGUGUAGCGGUGAAAUGCGUAGAUAUCGGGAGGAACACCAGUGGCGAAGGCGGUUGCCUGGAGCUUUGCUGACGCUGAGGCGCGAAAGCGUGGGGAGCGAUCCGG